CUACGGGUUGCUGCAGUGGGGAAUAUUGCACAAUGGGCGCAAGCCUGAUGCAGCAACGCCGCGUGAGGGAUGAAGGCCUUCGGGUUGUAAACCUCUUUUAGCAGGGAAGAAGCGAAAGUGACGGUACCUGCAGAAAAAGCACCGGCUAACUACGUGCCAGCAGCCGCGGUAAUACGUAGGGUGCAAGCGUUGUCCGGAAUUAUUGGGCGUAAAGAGCUCGUAGGCGGUUUGUCACGUCUGCUGUGAAAAUCCAAGGCUCAACCUUGGACUUGCAGUGGGUACGGGCAGGCUAGAGUGCGGUAGGGGAGAUGGGAAUUCCUGGUGUAGCGGUGGAAUGCGCAGAUAUCAGGAGGAACACCAAUGGCGAAGGCACAUCUCUGGGCCGUAACUGACGCUGAGGAGCGAAAGCGUGGGGAGCGAACAGGAUUAGAUACCCCUGUAGUC
This 444-nucleotide ribosomal RNA is filed under the name uncultured bacterium. Its description in RNAcentral is "partial 16S ribosomal RNA". It matches the Rfam family "Bacterial small subunit ribosomal RNA", at positions 339 to 795 of the family's 1533-position model. The record is from RNAcentral.